Molecule: transfer RNA, 72 nt
Filed under: Deltaproteobacteria bacterium
Lineage: Bacteria; Pseudomonadati; Myxococcota; Myxococcia
Also listed under: 1 other name
Description: tRNA-Gln
Rfam family: tRNA
About the family: Transfer RNA (tRNA) molecules are approximately 80 nucleotides in length. Their secondary structure includes four short double-helical elements and three loops (D, anti-codon, and T loops).
Source: RNAcentral
UGGGCGGUCGCCAAGCUGGAAAGGCACCGGACUUUGGAUCCGGCAGCGAAGGUUCGAGUCCUUCCCGCCCAG